RNAcentral lists this long non-coding RNA (5006 nucleotides) under Sus scrofa (pig). Its description in RNAcentral is "lncRNA (ENSSSCG00025027618.1)". Lineage: Eukaryota; Metazoa; Chordata; Mammalia; Artiodactyla; Suidae. The record is from RNAcentral.
GUGUAUUUUUUGAAUUACAAUAUAGUCGAUUUACAAUUUUAUGCGAAUUUCUGCCAUACAACAAAGCAAUCCAAUCGAUAUAUAUGUAUACAUUCCUUUUCUCAUACUAUCUUCCAUCAUGGUCUAUCCCAAGAGACUGGAUAUAGUUCCCUGUGCUAUACAGUGGGACCUCAUUGCUUAUCUACUCUAAAUGGAAUAGUUUGCAUCUACUAACCUCAAUCUCUCAGUCCAUCUCACUCCCUCCCCUUGGCAAGCACAGGUCUGUUUUCCAUGUCUGUGAGUCUGUUUCUGUUCUGUAGAUAGGUUCAUUGUGUCAUAUUUUAAAUUCCACAUGCAAGGGCUAUCAUAUGGUAUUCAUCUUUCUCUUUCUGACUUACUUCACUUAAUAUGAGAAUCUCUAGUUGCUUCCAUGUUGCUGCAAAUGGCAUCAUUUCAUUCUUUUUUAUGGCUAAGUAGUAUUCCAUUGCAUUUUUGUACUACAUCUUCUUACUCCAUUCAUCUGUCAAUGGACAUUUAGGUUGUUUCCAUGUCUUGGCUAUUGUAAAUAAUCCUGCCAUGAACAUACAGGUACAUGAGUCUUUCUGAAUUGUAGUUUUGUCCAGAUAUAUGCCCAGGAGUGGAAUUGCUGGAUCAUAUGGUAGUUAUGUAUUUAGUUUUCUGAGGAAGCUCCAUACUGUUUUCCAUAGUGGUUGUACCAUUUUACAUUCCCACCAACAGUAUAGGAGGGUUUCCUUUUCUCCACACCCUCUCCAGCAUUUGUUAUGUGUAGACAUUAAUGAUAGCUGUUCUGACCAGUGAGGUGUUGCCUCUUUGUAGUUUUGAUCUGCAUUCUGAUUGGCUGUGUUCUAUCCUCUGCACUAGCACAAAGGAGAUGAGGACACUUACAUGGUUAUCUCCCAGUGAGUGUAGCCAACUGCUUAGAGUUCUUCCAAACAAUAAAAUUUAAAGUGCCAUAUCAUUCUAAUGCCACUUAUCGGUAUUGACUUUAUUAAGCCAUUUCUAGUUAUUAUUAAAACCUACUGAACAUUCAUGUUACUUAAGGAGAGAAUAAAUGGGAGUCCCCAUCGUGGCGCAGUGGUUAAUGAAUCCAACUAGGAACCAUGAGAUUGCGGGUUCUAUGCCUGCCCUUGCUCAGUAGGUUAAGGAUCUGGCAUUGCCGUGAGCUGUGAUAUAGGUCGCAAACAUGGCUUGGAUCCCGCGCUAGGGGUCAGAUCAGAGCUGUAGCUGCCAGCCUGCACCACAGCCAUGUGGAAUCCGAGCUGGGUCUGCGACCUACACCAGAGCUCACAGCAACGCCGGAUCCUUAACCCACUGAGCGAGGCCGGGGAUCGAACCCGCAACCUCUUGGUUCCCAGUCAGAUUUGUUUGCACAGUGCCACGAUGGGAACUCCUCAAAUCUUUUCAAUAAUUUCAUUAUUGCUCUUUCAAGCCUUAGCCUUAAAAAUUCUCAACUUCUAGAAUACUUUAUUGAAAUAACGCCUAUAUUCUAACCAGUUUCCAAAUAGCCAUUUCUUCAGGAUGUGUUCAGCUAUUUAACCUCUGCUUAUAUGCUUUUAGUAAUUGUUUUAUAGUCAUUUUCUUCCUUCCUUCCUUCCUCUUUCCUUCCUUCCUCUUUCUUUCUUUCUUUCUCUCUUUCUUUCAACUGCACUCACAGCAUAUGGACGUUCCCAGACCAGGGAUCGAAUCAGAGCCACAGCUGCAAACCUAUAUGACAACUAUGGCAACACUGGAUCUUUAACCUGCUGAGUCACAAGGGAACUCCUAGAGUCAUUUUCUCACUGACAUUCCUGAGCUGAGGCUAAUUUCCUUAAGUCUUUUCCUUUGAUUACCUACUGCUGCAGGAUUCCCUCAGGUAAGCUGAUGAUUCCAUUUGUUCCUGAGUUUACGGUUGGGAGCUCACCAAAGCUCAUGUCCAAUGUGUGGAAGCUUUGACCUUGAUCUCUAUUUUGGUCAGAGUCCAGGCAGUAAACAGCAAGCUGACUCAAAAGCGUUUGACGAGAGGUGAUGAACCAUUGAGAAUCAUAACCCUAGAAAUGGGCUCACCUCUGCUGCAUUCCAGGCUUAGAGGAAGGUAGCAACUGCUGGAUGCUGAUAGACUUUGACUGACAUGAAUACCCUCCCUGACCUCUCUCUCCUUCCACUCUCCUAUCCUUUACCACUGGCCCAACCCAAAGGAAGCUAGAGAACCAGGCCUUGAGCCACUGGCAGUAGAUGACAGCCUCCCAGGAAAAACAUGGCAAAGGAGGAAGAGAUUGGAUCUGGAGGAGCCAAUGGAGAUGAACCAGCACAAGCUCUGACCCACCAGGGUUACUGGUCCCAGAGCCCCAAGGCUCCAGCCUCUAGUUGGGUGCUAAGACACCUCUUCUUGAUUGUCCAAGAACUUGACUGCUGCCCCUUCUCUGUUGCUUGUGUUGCUCUCUGCUUCCAUGCUUUGUGGCCCUGUUACUUUAGUCCCUGAUGGUCUUUGAUCUUGAUGUCCCUUCCCACUAGCUUUUAUAGCCCUUUAUUGGAGUUAACAAAAGUAAUCUUCUCCUUCCAUUUUCACAGCCUCCUCCACCUGGGAGCACAGACAGGUCCCCUCAGAUUUUCUUCCCCAUCCCUCCAAGUGCCCUGAAAGUGAGGCUAUGGGGGGCAUGCCCCAGCAGCCCUCUCAGAAUCACUUCUUCCAGCUGACAUUCUCUUUGUCCCAGGCUGAGCUGUAAGUCUUUGUACAUUCUCACAGGAAGGGAGAAUUCCUUAUUGGCCAUUUUAUAGUUUCUUUAUUUGAUGUUGGGGCAGCAAUGGGAGGGAGUUCUUAUAAGAGGAACCUUAAUAUUUGGGGACAAUUGAUAAUGGUUUUUUGCUUGUAAUAUAGUGAUGACCAUGGGGGCUACUACCAGCUUCAAUUGGACAUUUUGUCCCAUAGAUAAAGCCUGGUGCUUGUGUUUUGUAUUUCUUUUGUCACUCUCUGGCAAUACAUAUUGGCCUAUUUUAUGUUCAGACCUAAAGGAUUCUUUAUACUGUCAGCCCCUACAGAGUGAGGUAACUUUCUUACAGGCCUAUUUUUUUUUUUUUUUUUUUAACAAUUUAAGGGUAUACUUAUUUCUUUUUUUUCUUUUUCUUUCUUUUUUUUUUUUUUUUUUUUUUUUUUUUGUCUUUUUUCCUUUUCUAGGGCCACUCCCAUGGCAUAUAGAGGUUCCCAAGCUAGGGGUUGAAUCGGAGCUGUAGCUGCCAGCCACAGCCACAGCCACAGCAACACAGGAUCCAAGCCACAUUUGCAACCUACACCACAACUCACAGCAACUCCGGAUCCUUAACCCGAUGAGCAAAGCCAGAGAUCGACCCCCCAACCUCAUGGUUCCUAGUUGGAUUCCUUAACCACUGAGCCAUGAUGGGAACUCCUUAUUUCUUAAUUUGCAACUAUGUUCCAAAUCCUGGAGAUCACCCAAAGUGUGACCUCUGUCAAACGGAAACACUAUUGGCUUCACUGUUACUUUUUCUUGCUCUUUGGUAUCAUCCAAUAGUUAAGAAAUUCUGGAGGUUCCGUGGAGUGUCGAAUUUAAAGGAAUAGACAUAAGGAAUAUUUUCCAAGCAAAUGUGGAUGCAAUGGUUCUCAAACUGUAGUUCCUGAAUCUGCAACAUCAGUACCACCUGGAAACUUGUUAGAAAUGCACAUUCUCAGACCCAGCCCUGACCUACUGAAUCAGACACUCUGAGAACCCUCCAGAAGGUUCUGAUGCAGGUUAAAGUGUAAUAACCACUGGUCUAGUGUACCAAGGGAGGACCAGGAGUAUGUUUUAGUCUGGAUUCUCUUUGGUGUCUAAUUAAUGGGCAUCAUGAUUGAAAGUUGCCUUUGAAUUAGCAUUGCCUUGUUACUUUUGCUUCACUGUUCGAAAAAAGGCCAUGUGGGGCUGCUCUGUGUUCACUCAAUGGUAUCACAAGUAGUUAGCCCACAGAGUCUCGGAAACCAGCUGUGACCAAGGACUAGGAGAACCUCAUCCCGCCCACAGGACUUGGCCAGCACCUCUGGGACUCAUUUUGUAUAUAGUGCUCAGUACAUAUGGGCAAGAUGACCAGACCUUGGUGUUUUUAAGGAUAUGUGGUGACAGUGCCUCUUAGUCAUCCUUGAACGCCCCAGCGAACUGGCCAUUUGCCACAUUCUUAGCACAACCCUCCAAGGCAACUGGAGAGGAAGCUGGGAGCCCUGCCCUAAAAGAGCUUACAAUACACCACACUGUCAAAUCUAUUAAAAAAUGGCAUCCUCCUGAAAGAGGAAAUUUAUGAACCACAUUCCAUAGCUGCCCCAAUAUUUUCAUGCAUCCUAUUGUAUUUACUGCUGUUCUACACCAUGCUGAUUCUCAGGCUUCAAAGGAGGGUAUAUGAAUUGUCCUGAGAAUCCAGCCCUUCCAGAAUGACCUGUCAUCGCCUUCAUGCUUCUGAUGGGCAGCUGCUUUUUUAAUUAGGUUAUUAAAAUUUUUGCUCAACCUCUUAGUCAACUUAACUUGGCUUUAUUUUUAUUUUUUUAUUUUUUUAUUUUUUUUUUUGGUGGAAAGCAAAUCACUUGGCUGGUAAAAUAUGGUUUAAUUGGUUACUUGGCUUAGGGUUUAAUGACUUUUCCAUUAAUGUUUAUUCAACAAAUAUAUUUUAUUUAAUUUUCCCUGAAAUAACCCAGCUGACUCUGAAUGUUCAAGAUGUGUAGAACGCUGGAGAGGAGAUGUGAUCUCAGAAUUUCUAUGACAAUAUGAGGACAGAAAUCAUGGAAGAGACACAGCCUGAAGGCUUGGAGAUUUAGUCUGGGGAUAAGCAAGAUGUGCAAGCAAUCAUAGCAUCCUAUCUUUUUCUCUUGGUUCCUAAUCUCUUAGGUCCUCUAUAUUUCUUUCUUUCUCUCUCCAGUGUCUCAUGUGUAUUUGUGUGUAUGCACAUAUGAGUGUAUGCAUGCCUGUUUGUGUGUGUUUGUAUAUUAUACCUUGUGCAAAAUAUAAUAAUGGCAUUUACUACAGUUUUAAAAAAAUGGUAAAAAAAAAAAA